CAGUAGCCGCGGGAAUACGUAGGUCCCGAGCGUUGUCCGGAUUUAUUGGGCGUAAAGCGAGCGCAGGCGGUUAGAUAAGUCUGAAGUUAAAGACUGUGGCUUAACCAUAGUACGCUUUGGAAACUGUUUAACUUGAGUGCAAGAGGGGAGAGUGGAAUUCCAUGUGUAGCGGUGAAAUGCGUAGAUAUAUGGAGGAACACCGGUGGCGAAAGCGGCUCUCUGGCUUGUAACUGACGCUGAGGCUCGAAAGCGUGGGGAGCAAACAGGAUUAGAUACCCCCGUAGUCCCUGUCUCUUAUACC
Molecule: ribosomal RNA, 301 nt
Filed under: uncultured bacterium
Lineage: Bacteria
Description: partial 16S ribosomal RNA
Rfam family: Bacterial small subunit ribosomal RNA
Source: RNAcentral